GAUGAACGCUAGCGGCAGGCCUAAAACAUGCAAGUCGAGGGGCAGCACAUAAAGUGGUUUACUACUUUUGGUGGCGACCGGCGGACGGGUGCGUAACGCGUAUGCAACCUGCCUCCAACAGGGGGAUUACGGAGAGAACUUUCCACUAAUAACCCAUAAUAUAAGAAUCGGCAGCGGUUUUGGUUGAAAACUCCGGUGGAUGGAAAUGGGCAUGCGUUGUAUUAGAUAGUUGGUGAGGUAACGGCUCACCAAGUCAACGAUACAUAGGGGGACUGAGAGGUUAGCCCCCCACACUGGUACUGAGACACGGACCAGACUCCUACGGGAGGCAGCAGUGAGGAAUAUUGGUCAAUGGUGGCAACCCUGAACCAGCCAUGCCGCGUGCAGGAAGACGGCUCUAUGAGUUGUAAACUGCUUUUACAAGGGGAUAAAUCGGUGUACGUGUACACCGUUGAAGGUACCUUGGGAAUAAGGAUCGGCUAACUCCGUGCCAGCCGCCGCGGUAA
This 506-nucleotide ribosomal RNA is filed under the name uncultured bacterium. RNAcentral's name for it is "partial 16S ribosomal RNA". It matches the Rfam family "Bacterial small subunit ribosomal RNA", at positions 28 to 523 of the family's 1533-position model. The record is from RNAcentral.